GACGUAGGGCGCGAGCGUUGUCCGGAUUUAUUGGGCGUAAAGAGCUCGUAGGCGGCUUGUCGCGUCGAAUGUGAAAUUUUAGGGCUCAACCCUGACAUUGCAUUCGAUACGGGCAGGCUUGAGUUCGGUAGGGGAGACUGGAAUCCCUGGUGUAGUGGUGAAAUGCGUAGAGAUCAGGGGGAACACCCGUGGCGAAGGCGGCCGGCUGGGCCGUCCCUGACGCUGAGGCGCGAAAGCAUGGGGAGCGAACAGG
RNAcentral lists this ribosomal RNA (253 nucleotides) under uncultured bacterium. RNAcentral describes it as "partial 16S ribosomal RNA". It matches the Rfam family "Bacterial small subunit ribosomal RNA", at positions 524 to 776 of the family's 1533-position model. The record is from RNAcentral.